CAGCCUAGUCCAGUCGUUCUGAAGCAAGCGCGAGAAAAAACGUGGAUGUAGUACGAGGCUGGGACCUAGGUGUGACGUCACCCCUAAAGGUGCUUUAGAACGCCUAGCAGAUUUCAGUGUUUUUAAUAUGGCGGAAAAUUUAUAAAUACAAAUAAGCUUGUAAAUACGACAAUGUUCGUUGAUCAUGUUCGAUGUCUACGUAACCAAAUUCAAACUGUAUUAAUUUUAAAAUUUGCUCAAUUAAAAAAAAAAUAUAUACAAAUUUACGUUACUGAGUCUGAGCAAUGGUCGUAUAAUCGUUGAUGUUAUUUAUAUACUCGCAAGUUGUGAUCAACACUAAACCGCGGUAUUGGUAUACACAACUACGCUUUCUACUUGACAGGUUUAAGUAGCUGAGGGGAUUGGAAAUAUUUGCCUGACAUGACUGUGUUGUCAAACAUUUUUAGUCGGAAACUCCGCAUAAUUUUGAAGCUUCUAGAUAGCAUUUAAUAUGGCUUUAUAUUUUAGUAAACACGAGUCAUAUUUAGCCCGUUAUUCCAUUCUGACCGUAUGGUAGCGAACCGUAGCCUAUUUCAUUGUUCCGACAGCAUUAGAGCAAAACUAAUGACUUAAUUAUAAACGCAACGGAAAUUCCAUAACAUUUUCUAUUUACAAAAUGCUGUAUGCUUGGUAACCAGGCCAGGGACCACUUUUUUGAAAUCAGGGACCAUUUUACCGAAAUCUGCUAGGCUCUCUCGCUGAAGCGUUCCGCACAGCACACCCAGGCAUAAAACUUGUAAGACUUAUUUAAAUAUAUCAAAGCAGCGAAGAGAGAGCCUGGGACUAGGCUG
This is a non-coding RNA of Paramuricea clavata, 830 nucleotides long. The record is from the annotation of a GenBank genome assembly. Lineage: Eukaryota; Metazoa; Cnidaria; Anthozoa; Malacalcyonacea; Plexauridae.